AUAAAUAUCGACUAAAAAAUCCAUCAAUAAAAAGAACGAAAAUUUUCUCGUCCAUUUUUUCUCUUUAUCUGAGACACGUCAUUUCUUUCUCUUUCUUGUAGGUCUUCAUCUUCCUUUUUCUCGCAUGAGGUAGACCUUAUCUUCCCUCGCUUCCUCUAUCUUAACUCAGACCACCGUAAUUACAAGCUCAUUUGACACGCCUUCAUCUCUGUUGAAUCAGGUCGUCGUUUUCGUCUUCAUCAACGUCAUCGCAUUUCAGGUCUUUCACUCCAUCUUCUUCUUCUCUAACACACGCAGAGGAUGGACAAUGCCUCUAUUUUCUCUCUUCCACGCUAAGAUGCAUCCAAGCAUUGGCACCUCUAUGCAAUGUCGUCGUUGUCCGCUCUAAAUCCAGCCAAAGCCACUGUUUAUCACUACCC
Molecule: long non-coding RNA, 419 nt
Filed under: Vigna radiata
Lineage: Eukaryota; Viridiplantae; Streptophyta; Magnoliopsida; Fabales; Fabaceae
Description: long non-coding RNA (VRAD_LNC018420)
Source: RNAcentral